UGGUGGCAGCGGGGCUGGCUCAGCAUACCCGUGUCAGUCCCUUUGCUCUUAUUCCUAAGUGUACUUUUGUGCCGUUUAAGCGGCUGAUGGUGAGGUGACACCGGUGUGGAGUGGAGCGGACUGGCUCCUCCAGCCCACACUGAAGGCACGGGGAGAGACCCAAGAGGGCACAAGAUACACCAUCACUUAACACAGAGGUGUUAACUUCAUUCUUGCAGCAAAAGAAGGCCAUUGUACUUCCUGACCCUGAAAGCAAG
Molecule: long non-coding RNA, 257 nt
Organism: Perognathus longimembris pacificus (Pacific pocket mouse)
Lineage: Eukaryota; Metazoa; Chordata; Mammalia; Rodentia; Heteromyidae
Exons: 2
Source: RefSeq, a predicted model, not a curated record